AUUGAACGCUGGCGGCAUGCCUUACACAUGCAAGUCGAACGGCAGCACGGGGGCAACCCUGGUGGCGAGUGGCGAACGGGUGAGUAAUACAUCGGAACGUGUCCUGUCGUGGGGGAUAACUAGUCGAAAGAUUAGCUAAUACCGCAUGAGAUCGAGAGAUGAAAGCAGGGGACCGCAAGGCCUUGCGCGAUUGGAGCGGCCGAUGUCGGAUUAGCAGUUGGCGGGGUAAAGCCCACCAAGGCGACGAUCCGUAGCUGGUUUGAGAGGAUGGCCAGCCACAUUGGGACUGAGACACGGCCCAGACUCCUACGGGAGGCAGCAGUGGGGAAUAUUGCGCAAUGGACGAAAGUCUGACGCAGCGACGCCGCGUGUGGGAUGACGGUCUUCGGAUUGUAAACCACUGUCGGGAGGGACG
Molecule: ribosomal RNA, 415 nt
Filed under: uncultured bacterium
Lineage: Bacteria
Description: bacterial SSU rRNA
Rfam family: Bacterial small subunit ribosomal RNA
Source: RNAcentral